GGUCUUGUAGUUGAAAAGACAACGGCGAGUUGCAGCCUCGAAAGUGGGGUAGGUCCCCCCAGGAUCU
This 67-nucleotide transfer RNA is filed under the name Amusium pleuronectes. Its description in RNAcentral is "tRNA-Cys". The record is from RNAcentral. Lineage: Eukaryota; Metazoa; Mollusca; Bivalvia; Pectinida; Pectinidae.